Molecule: ribosomal RNA, 397 nt
Filed under: Atenia quadrasi
Lineage: Eukaryota; Metazoa; Mollusca; Gastropoda; Stylommatophora; Helicodontidae
Description: partial 16S ribosomal RNA
Rfam family: Bacterial large subunit ribosomal RNA
Source: RNAcentral
UUUCUGCUCAAUGGUAAACUAAAUGGCCGCAGUACUUUGACUGUGCAAAGGUAGCAUAAUAAAUUGGCUUAUAAUUGAAGUCUGGCAUGAAUGAAAAUAUGAAUAUUACCUGUCUCAUAAUAAUUUUAUGAAAUUACUUAAUAAGUGAAAAUACUUAUACUUAAAUAAUAGACGAGAAGACCCUAGAAAUUUUAACUAAACACUUAUAUUUACUUUUUGCUGGGGCGGCAGAAUAGCAGUUAACCUAUUUUACUAUAUUUAACCAAUUUUUUAAUUAAAUAUAAAUUACUCUAGGGAUAACAGCAUAAUUUACUAUAGUUUGUGACCUCGAUGUUGGACUAAGGUAUUUACUACCUAGAAAGUAGUAUAGCUAAGCUCUGUUCGAGCUGUAAUCCUU